This 578-nucleotide small RNA is filed under the name Fonsecaea monophora. RNAcentral describes it as "eukaryotic LSU rRNA". It matches the Rfam family "Eukaryotic large subunit ribosomal RNA", at positions 46 to 640 of the family's 3401-position model. Lineage: Eukaryota; Fungi; Ascomycota; Eurotiomycetes; Chaetothyriales; Herpotrichiellaceae. The record is from RNAcentral.
AUAAGCGGAGGAAAAGAAACCAACAGGGAUUGCCUCAGUAACGGCGAGUGAAGCGGCAACAGCUCAAAUUUGAAAUCUGGCCUCUUGGGGUCCGAGUUGUAAUUUGUAGAGGAUGUUUCGGGUACCGCCUCGGUUUAAAUUUCUUGGAACAGAAUGUCAAAGAGGGUGAGAAUCCCGUCUUGGACCGGCGGUAGGGCCUAUGUGAAACUCCUUCGACGAGUCGAGUUGUUUGGGAAUGCAGCUCAAAAUGGGUGGUAAAUUUCAUCUAAAGCUAAAUAUUGGCCAGAGACCGAUAGCGCACAAGUAGAGUGAUCGAAAGAUGAAAAGCACUUUGAAAAGAGAGUUAAACAGUAUGUGAAAUUGUUGAAAGGGAAGCGCUUGCAACCAGACUUGAGCGCGGCGGUUCCCCCUUGCUUCUGCUUGGGUUACUCCGCCGUGUCCAGGCCAACAUCGGUUCUGGGGGUCGGUCAAAGGCUCUGGGAAUGUAUCUACCCACGGGUAGACUUAUAGACCAGGGUGUCAUGCGACCUCCCGGGACCGAGGAACGCGCUUCGGCUCGGAUGUUGGCGUAAUGGUUG